AGUGAACGCUGGCGGUAGGCCUAACACAUGCAAGUCGAACGGCAGCACAGUAAGAGCUUGCUCUUGCGGGUGGCGAGUGGCGGACGGGUGAGGAAUACAUCGGAAUCUACUUUUUCGUGGGGGAUAACGUAGGGAAACUUACGCUAAUACCGCAUACGACCUACGGGUGAAAGCAGGGGAUCUUCGGACCUUGCGCGAUUGAAUGAGCCGAUGUCGGAUUAGCUAGUUGGCGGGGUAAAGGCCCACCAAGGCGACGAUCCGUAGCUGGUCUGAGAGGAUGAUCAGCCACACUGGAACUGAGACACGGUCCAGACUCCUACGGGAGGCAGCAGUGGGGAAUAUUGGGCAAUGGGCGCAAGCCUGAUCCAGCCAUACCGCGUGGGUGAAGAAGGCCUUCGGGUUGUAAAGCCCUUUUGUUGGGAAAGAAAGGCAGCAGGUUAAUACCCCGCUGUUCUGACGGUACCCAAAGAAUAAGCACCGGCUAACUUCGUG
This 492-nucleotide ribosomal RNA is filed under the name uncultured bacterium. Its description in RNAcentral is "partial 16S ribosomal RNA". It matches the Rfam family "Bacterial small subunit ribosomal RNA", at positions 29 to 507 of the family's 1533-position model. The record is from RNAcentral.